UGUAUAUUCCUUACGUGUUUUACAGGUGUAAACUUUUGUAAGAUUCCUUACACAGGUAUUGACUUACAACUAGAAAUGUUUUCAGCAAGGGAAAAAUACCAGUCUAAUUUUUGUUUUCUUCUGGUGCUUUAUAGGAAGAGAAGUACUUGCUUAUCUUAUUGGGCAUAUGAAGAGUCCAAAGAAUUUAAUGGUUACUUUACAUCUUGGGAAAUUGCAGAUUACAACAUGCAUCUAGCUGAAAACUAACUCUGGAUUAAUAUAUAAUGUUUCAGAAUGUAUUGGCGAUAAAAAAGAAACAUUUUUAUUUAUACAUUUGGCAAAAGUUCUAAAAACAAACAAACAAACAAAUAAACAAACAAAAAAGUGUCAGAGAGCAAGAGGGAAUGAAGUAAACAACUUAUAUAUCUUUUUUAAAAGUACUUGAACACAGUGAAAUAGAAGGCUCCAUAAUGAGAUUAUUCAAUGCUGAUGAGGCCACACCUGGAGUACUGUCUGGUUCCGGGCUCCCAAGUACAAAAGGGACAUGGACAUACUGGAGAGAGUCCAACAAAGGGCAACAGAAACUAUGAAGGGACUAGAACAUUUCUCCUGUGAGGGAAGGCUGAGAGAUCUGGGACUGACUCUUCACCUUCUAGAAGGCUGAAUAGAAGAAAUAGAAGGUUCUGUCUGAAUAUCAGAAAACACUUCUUUUGCUGUACAGAUGACAGAGCACUGGCACAGGUUGCCUGGAGGGGUUGUGGAGUCUCCUACUUGGAGAUCUUCAAAAAACCUCUGGGCAUUGUGGUGGACAAGCUGCCCUAGGUGUCGCUGCUUGAACAGGGGGUUGGACUAGAUGAAUUCCAGAGGUCUUUUCCAGCCUCAGCCAUUCUGUCAUUGUGUGAGAUGAAGGAAGGAAGAAUCUCAUAAAUUUAUCUCUGUCUUAUGUGGUGUCCUCUGAGGCAAUCAGAUGAGAAGUCCUUAUGCCCAAGGAUUGCUUACUGUCCUUCAGUGAAUGAGAGCGUGCUGCCUACUGAGGAGAGAAGAACAAGUGAAAGAUGCCACUUUUUGGUAUUUGCUGGUACAGGAAAGAAAAUGUUGAAGUCCAGAGCUAGGAAAAACAUAACUGGAACUUUUCAGCAGCUACCUUGUUCAAAGUGUUUAGUGUUUAAAGCUGCAUGACUUUGAUCAGGAAGACUGAGAACAUUUUACCAGAGACUCUGUGGGAGAAAACUUCAUCAUCUUUUCCCCAUCCCAUGUAUUUGCAGUUGAAUGCUGGUCAUCAUGUGUUUGUAUUACAGUAUCUGUAGGUCUUGUGAAAAAGAGGGAUGGAAGCUGUUAUCUUUUUGUGAAAGUGAAUACAGGAGGACAUCUAUACAGCAGAGGCUGGGGAAAGAGGGCAGAAUGACAGAGAAUGCCAGAAGAAGGAAUGAGGAGAUCUGUAGUAAUUGCUGAAAAUGCUGGUAACAUUAUCUAUAUAGAGCACUGUAGUAUGCAAGGCAUGUUAUGGCAGUGGAUAGGCUAAUAAAGUAUGUUUGAAUUAUUAAAUUUACUUAUCU
RNAcentral lists this long non-coding RNA (1535 nucleotides) under Anser brachyrhynchus (Pink-footed goose). RNAcentral's name for it is "lncRNA (ENSABRG00000008762.1)". The record is from RNAcentral. Lineage: Eukaryota; Metazoa; Chordata; Aves; Anseriformes; Anatidae.